GACGAACGCUGGCGGCGUGCCUAAUACAUGCAAGUCGAACGCACUGACGUCGACAGGAGGCGCUUGCACUGGAAGUUGAUUGACGUGAGUGGCGGACGGGUGAGUAACACGUGAGUAACCUGCCCUUAAGCGGGGGAUAACAUUUGGAAACAGAUGCUAAUACCGCAUAAAAGGUGAGAUCACAUGGUCUUAAUUUGAAAGACGGCCUUUGGCAGUCACUUAAGGAUGGACCCGCGGCGUAUUAGCUAGUUGGUGAGAUAAUAGCCCACCAAGGCGAUGAUACGUAGCCGACCUGAGAGGGUAAUCGGCCACAUUGGGACUGAGACACGGCCCAAACUCCUACGGGAGGCAGCAGUAGGGAAUCUUCCACAAUGGACGAAAGUCUGAUGGAGCAACGCCGCGUGAGUGAAGAAGGUUUUCGGAUCGUAAAACUCUGUUGUUGGAGAAGAACAGGGACUAGAGUAACUGUUAGUCCUUUGACGGUAUCCAACCAGAAAGCCACGGCUAACUACGUGCCAGCCGCCGCGGUAA
RNAcentral lists this ribosomal RNA (531 nucleotides) under uncultured bacterium. RNAcentral describes it as "partial 16S ribosomal RNA". It matches the Rfam family "Bacterial small subunit ribosomal RNA", at positions 28 to 523 of the family's 1533-position model. The record is from RNAcentral.